AUUGAACGCUAGCGGGAUGCCUUACACAUGCAAGUCGAACGGCAGCGCGGACUUCGGUCUGGCGGCGAGUGGCGAACGGGUGAGUAAUGUAUCGGAACGUGCCCAGUAGCGGGGGAUAACUACUCGAAAGAGUAGCUAAUACCGCAUACGCCCUACGGGGGAAAGGGGGGGAUCGCAAGACCUCUCACUAUUGGAGCGGCCGAUAUCGGAUUAGCUAGUUGGUGAGGUAAAGGCUCACCAAGGCGACGAUCCGUAGCUGGUUUGAGAGGACGACCAGCCACACUGGGACUGAGACACGGCCCAGACGCCUACGGGAGGCAGCAGUGGGGAAUUUUGGACAAUGGGGGGAAACCCUGAUCCAGCCAUUCCGCGUGUGCGAUGAAGGCCUUCGGGUUGUAAAGCACUUUUGGCAGGAAAGAAAUCGCAUCAAUUAAUACUUGGUGUGGAUGACGGUACCUGCAGAAUAAGCACCGGCUAACUACGUGCCAGCAGCCGCGGUAA
RNAcentral lists this ribosomal RNA (501 nucleotides) under uncultured bacterium. Its description in RNAcentral is "partial 16S ribosomal RNA". It matches the Rfam family "Bacterial small subunit ribosomal RNA", at positions 30 to 523 of the family's 1533-position model. The record is from RNAcentral.